UUCCGGUUGAUCCUGCCAGAGGUCACUGCUAUCGGGGUUCGAUUAAGCCAUGCGAGUCGAGAGGGUUCGGCCCUCGGCGUACUGCUCAGUAACACGUGGAUAACCUGCCCUAGGGGAGGGGAUAACCCCGGGAAACUGGGGAUAAUACCCUAUAGGUUACAGAUGCUGGAAUGCCCUGUAACCAAAAGCUCCGGCGCCCUAGGAUGGAUCUGCGGCCGAUUAGGUUGUUGUUGGGGUAACGGCCCAACAAGCCCGUAAUCGGUACGGGUUGUGGGAGCAAGAGCCCGGAGUUGGAUUCUGAGACACGAAUCCAGGCCCUACGGGGCGCAGCAGGCGCGAAACCUUUACAAUGCGGGCAACCGUGAUAAGGGAACCUCGAGUGCCUGUAAACGCAGGCUGUUCAGGUGUUUAAAACGCACCUGGAGAAAGGGCCGGGCAAGACCGGUGCCAGCCGCCGCGGUAAUACCGGCGGCUCGAGUGGUGGCCGCUUUUAUUGGGCUUAAAGCGUUCGUAGCUGGGUUGUUAAGUCUCUUGGGAAAUCUGGCGGCUUANCCGUCAGGCGUCUAAAGGAUACUGGCAAUCUUGGAACCGGGAGAGGUGAGGGGUACUUCGGGGGUAGGGGUGAAAUCCUGUAAUCCUCGAGGGACCACCUGUGGCGAAAGCGCUCACCAGAACGGCUUCGACAGUGAGGGACGAAGCUGGGGGAGCAACCGGAUUAGAUACC
This 724-nucleotide ribosomal RNA is filed under the name uncultured archaeon. RNAcentral describes it as "bacterial SSU rRNA". It matches the Rfam family "Archaeal small subunit ribosomal RNA", at positions 1 to 737 of the family's 1478-position model. The record is from RNAcentral.